Molecule: unclassified non-coding RNA, 370 nt
Filed under: Hevea brasiliensis (rubber tree)
Lineage: Eukaryota; Viridiplantae; Streptophyta; Magnoliopsida; Malpighiales; Euphorbiaceae
Source: RNAcentral
GAAAGACCUGAGAGAGACCCCAGAGAGCGAGGGGACCGUCCUGAUAGGUCUCGCGGUGAUGAUGCAUUUGAAAAAUCAAGAGAUAGAUCAACGGAGCGGCAUGGAAGAGAACGUUCAAUUGAGAGAGUACAUGAGAGAGUUGCUGAUAGGAACUUUGAUAGGUUGAGUAAGGAUGAAAGGAUCAAAGAUGAUAGGAGCAAGCUGCGACAUAAUGAAGCAUCUGUAGAAAAAUCUCUUACAGAUGAUCGGUUUCAUAAUCAAAAUUUGCCUCCACCUCCACCACUGCCUCCUCAUCUGGUCCCGCAAUCCAUUAGUGCAGGCAGGAGAGAGGACGAUUCUGAUAGACGUUUUGGAACUGCCAGACAUAGUC